AUUUUUUCGUUUCUAACGUUGGCUGUAGUCAGCAUCCAUGCGAGGAACUGUGAAUACGAAUGUCGUCCAUAGUCGGCACGUAUGUAAUAAACCAUACUAACGCCGAUUAUAGUAAUGAUUUAUUCGGUAACAAUUGUGUUACGUUCUGUAGUUAUUGUUUUGAUUCUGUUCGGAAGAAUUCGGAAGCAAUCCGUUAAUGGUAUAUAUAUGUUAAUUUCUUCAAUGUUGAAAGUUACAGUUUUAUUUAACUCUUUUUUUCUAUGCAAAUAUUAAUGCAAAUGAAUAUUCGCGGCGCACGUUCCUCUACUAUAGAAGAACAAUAUUCGCAGUUAUAUGAAUUGUAAAGACAGGGUUAAAAAUAUAAUAUUACUGAGAAUCGCACAUAGAGUUACCGCUACGAAAUCUCAACAAUAUUGAGUAGCUUAUUUGCACGUGGUCUUACACCCGUCAAUUAUAGACGGAAUGUCGAUUGCCGCUAAAUCGACUUGAACUUUGUCACGUAGUUUGUUCACGUGCGCGCGCACUUACGGUUACUACGCGCAUCAGUUCCGGCUGUUCAGCACCGUUCGAUAUUGAACACGAAAAUUUAAAGAGCCGUUCGUGUAUUAUAAUUUCUGAUAUUUGACGGUGAACUUAACGUGGUUAGUUAAAAAUAUGCCUUAAAAGGAUACGUUAUAUACAGAACGAAAGAAUACCGUUACAAAAGAUUAGUGCCCAAGUUGAUUGAAAGUGAUACUCGAUAAAGAUUUACGUUUUUUUUCAAAAUCACGAUAUACGAUCCUAUGAUGAAAGACUAUUCUUUGAAAAGAUCUGGUUUCAGCUUGUUCGCACAUUGAAUUCAGAUCACGAAUUGAGUAAUUAAUAAUUUGCAUUCAUUUUUGAGAAUUGUUUGUGCGAUUAUUAUAAACAACGAUGGAGAUUAUAUCGCUAGUAAUUUCGCUAAAAAUAGGCCGAGAUAGGCUUUUUCUCUUUCUUUUCUUGCUUCUAUCCUUAUCGUUUAAAUUGAGUAUCGGUAUACAAAAAGUUGUAAAUGUAAUUUUAUAGUAAGCUUCGAUUAACAUAAAGAAAGACGUACAUAUUGAAUGUACAUUACAGAUCGCUCUUAGAAUUAAUUGCUAGUCGUGUAAGUAGAUGAACAUAAAUGUACGCUAUACUGUAUACUAAAAAUGAAACAACGACGAUUCAUAGCACAUCUUUACGUACACAAUUCGAGCGGAAACUUAUAUAUAUGUAUUUGUACAUGGCAGCACGAUAUUUUUAAACGAACGUCGCAAGUAUACUUAUCCUUAAUUAUCAGAAUCCUCUACUUGACAGUACAGUCAUUGAAUAAAUAAAAAUUACAGAGUUCGAUAUAAGCUACGCAUCGGAGAAAAUCAAAUUUAACAAUAUAUUUAUACAUGUCGCUAAUCAAUUAAAUCGUGUAAAAUAUUUUAUUGCUAUGUUUACAGAAUAAGCAGUACCUCGUUAAAAUCUCGACGCAAAGGUUGUAACGAUAAUACCUAAUUAUAAAGAAUACUUUUGAUAAUACUUUUUUGUAUUAUCUGUCUACGAUAUUUCCUCCGCCAUUAAGAUUUUAUAACGAGAGAAAAUAAUCGGAAAUAUAAAACGAAGUAUACAUAUAUAGGCUAUUUACAAUGAAAGAUUAUUCCAUACACAUCGUGUCGGACCAUUGGCUGUAAGAUACCGAUAUUUUUACAUCAUGCCAAUAUUUGAACGCAAGUUGAACCGAUGCUACAUCGAAUGAUUGUAUAAAAAAAAGAAGAAAGA
Molecule: long non-coding RNA, 1767 nt
Organism: Bombus impatiens (common eastern bumble bee)
Lineage: Eukaryota; Metazoa; Arthropoda; Insecta; Hymenoptera; Apidae
Exons: 2
Source: RefSeq, a predicted model, not a curated record